RNAcentral lists this ribosomal RNA (425 nucleotides) under uncultured bacterium. RNAcentral describes it as "bacterial SSU rRNA". It matches the Rfam family "Bacterial small subunit ribosomal RNA", at positions 354 to 796 of the family's 1533-position model. The record is from RNAcentral.
GUGGGGAAUAUUGCACAAUGGGGGAAACCCUGAUGCAGCGACGCCGCGUGAAGGAAGAAGUAUCUCGGUAUGUAAACUUCUAUCAGCAGGGAAGAUAGUGACGGUACCUGACUAAGAAGCCCCGGCUAACUACGUGCCAGCAGCCGCGGUAAUACGUAGGGGGCAAGCGUUAUCCGGAUUUACUGGGUGUAAAGGGAGCGUAGACGGUGUGGCAAGUCUGAUGUGAAAGGCAUGGGCUCAACCUGUGGACUGCAUUGGAAACUGUCAUACUUGAGUGCCGGAGGGGUAAGCGGAAUUCCUAGUGUAGCGGUGAAAUGCGUAGAUAUUAGGAGGAACACCAGUGGCGAAGGCGGCUUACUGGACGGUAACUGACGUUGAGGCUCGAAAGCGUGGGGAGCAAACAGGAUUAGAAACCCUAGUAGUCC